Non-coding RNA from Paenibacillus sabinae T27, 90 nucleotides. The record is from Rfam. NCBI's taxonomy places the organism in Bacteria, Bacillati, Bacillota, Bacilli, Caryophanales, Paenibacillaceae.
UCCAGUAAAAGGUAAACCUGCUGAAAAGCUGGGGCACAAAGUCUCGGGUCUAAGGUGAUCUUUAGAAGCUACGACGGCCGGACUGCCUGG